Long non-coding RNA from Ananas comosus (pineapple), 197 nucleotides. RefSeq lists it as uncharacterized. The record is from RefSeq and is a predicted model, not a curated record. NCBI's taxonomy places the organism in Eukaryota, Viridiplantae, Streptophyta, Magnoliopsida, Poales, Bromeliaceae. The transcript has 2 exons.
AGUGACGACGAGCAAUCGGAACGCUGUAAAAAGGUACACACGUGAGCGGACCGGCAGGAGAUCGCGGUAAGGGCGUAGCGCCCUAGCUAGCUAGUAGAGCUUUCCUAUUGUACUAGAGCACCCUCGUGUGCAUGGUUAUAGAUGACAUGAUGUAUUUGGAUAGCUAGCAUUAUGUAUAUGUGAUAUGAUUAUGUAUU